RNAcentral lists this ribosomal RNA (253 nucleotides) under uncultured bacterium. RNAcentral describes it as "partial 16S ribosomal RNA". It matches the Rfam family "Bacterial small subunit ribosomal RNA", at positions 524 to 776 of the family's 1533-position model. The record is from RNAcentral.
UACGAAGGGGGCUAGCGUUGCUCGGAAUUACUGGGCGUAAAGGGCGCGUAGGCGGAUAUUUAAGUCAGGGGUGAAAUCCCAGAGCUCAACUCUGGAACUGCCUUUGAUACUGGGUAUCUUGAGUAUGGAAGAGGUGAGUGGAAUUCCGAGUGUAGAGGUGAAAUUCGUAGAUAUUCGGAGGAACACCAGUGGCGAAGGCGGCUCACUGGUCCAUUACUGACGCUGAGGUGCGAAAGCGUGGGGAGCGAUCCGG